This is a long non-coding RNA of Limulus polyphemus (Atlantic horseshoe crab), 413 nucleotides long. RefSeq lists it as uncharacterized. The record is from RefSeq and is a predicted model, not a curated record. NCBI's taxonomy places the organism in Eukaryota, Metazoa, Arthropoda, Merostomata, Xiphosura, Limulidae. The transcript has 2 exons.
UAGGAACUUCAUACCAUGCUCGCGAUGAUUCCAAGUCCACAUCAUCAAGGCCAGUCCUGAUGUAACAUACCAGAUACCCACUACAACGACGAGUACAGUUAGGCCUAACUCGGUUACUUUUCACGUCGUUUAGUAGCAUACGUUGAUGACGAUUUUCUUUUUAUAAUUAUUAGUAGUCAUACAGUUACAGACUGACAUAACCGACCAGUAUGAUGGAAGAUGAAGAACAAAUAAUACCGAAAUAAAGGCAAAUUGGAAAAUAAAACUACUUGAAACAAUGCUUACGAAGAAAGUAGGAUUUUUAUGUUGUUAAAUACUGGGAUGACUUUAGUUACACAAGCAUGCAGUGGCGAAAACAAGGAGUUACUUAGCGAACUGGUUGUUAGACUUCGGAUAUUCGCACAAACCAAAGG